AAAACAAGGGAGGAGAGGACAAAC
RNAcentral lists this non-coding RNA (24 nucleotides) under Cricetulus griseus (Chinese hamster). Lineage: Eukaryota; Metazoa; Chordata; Mammalia; Rodentia; Cricetidae. The record is from RNAcentral.